AAGUGUGUGUAUUUAACAAAUGUUAGCAAUUUCCUUCGUGGUACUUACUGUCGCAGUGUCCGAUUCUUAUGGAAUAACUUGGAAUGAUAACUGGGCUCUAGGCUGCGAUUUUCGAGGAAAUGACUUAAAGGAUGUAAAAAUGAGAGGAGAAGAUUGCGGUGGACGAUGUGCUUCUACGCAAGGCUGCACUCACUUCACAUGGACUGACUAUGAUGGAGGAACUUGUUGGAUGAAGAAAAAUUCCGUGUCUAAGAUGAUGCUUUCGAAAGUACUGACAAAUCGGCUGUGUGUGGAAUUGUAGAAAACAGCGAUCGUGGUUCUUCUAACGAGCAAUGGAACCGAGCAGAUCUCACAAAUUUCGAGUCAUAUCCAGAUCCAAAUAGUGACGAAUGUAUAAAUUACAAUGGUUGCUUAUGGGCUGGGUAUUUUGCAUUUGUGUCGGGAAGCAAUCAGAAUCUUGGGUUAAAGCCAACAAUAUAAUAGCCAUACAUUCAAAGGAUGCUUC
Molecule: long non-coding RNA, 505 nt
Organism: Bradysia coprophila
Lineage: Eukaryota; Metazoa; Arthropoda; Insecta; Diptera; Sciaridae
Source: RefSeq, a predicted model, not a curated record